UCUUUCUCUCUCUCUCUCUCCAACUGUGCCUUUCAAAUAGAUAAAUAAAUCUUUAAAAGAAAUUCCCCAGACUGCUCACAAUUUAGGUGGUUUCAUAGUAAUAUCCUUGAUGUAAUAGCAUUUAUGAAGAGCAGUGGGAGGGGCCUGGCACAGUAUUUUAAACUGAGACGUGGAAAAUGAGUUCACAGUAGACCAGCUGGUCUGAUUCAAAUGUGAUAAGGAAAUUUCAAGCCAGUAAAAUAUUAUCAACAAAGGCCCAGAGACUUGAGAGAAUAGAACUUCAAGGGAUAUAUAAGUAGAUCUGCAUUAUUGGAACAAAAAAGAGUAAAGGAAAGAGGAGUUGGUGGUGACAAAAAGGUGCUUUCAGUUGCUGAAGGCAAUGCAGCAGACUUCAGAACAUUUCCAUCUUCCUCCUCGAAGUAGAGUAAUGAAAGUUGCUUUCAGAAUCAGACGUGGCAUCACCAUUUAUCAACACUGUAAAUGGCAAGAAACUUGAGGCUCAGGGAAGGAACGUUUACUGAAUGUCUAUUAACCACGUGGUAAGCAUCUUCCUCGUGACAUCUCUGUGUGGCUUGGAGUUACUGCCUUCUUAUUGUGUCUUCACUUGGGAAAGAAAGAGAGAGAGAGAAAUGGAGAAAUCAGAAGGAAAAAAGGAUGUGUUCUAAGUAAGCCUCAAACUUCACAAGGAAAAUUCCAUUGCAUCUUAAGGCUUGAGAAUGAUUAUUACUGGUUUGCUGGUCUGCCUUUCAGACCCACCAGGGUGGUGGUCCCACUUUUGUGACUCUGCUGGCUGGAAGAUGGACCCUCAAGGUUCUGGGCAGUGAUGGUCUGGCCUGUUGAAUCUGAAGCAAUGUCCUUCCUCUUCCGUUCUAACCUGGAAACUGUGGAGGCAGCCCCAAUACGGACCAAAUCAAUUCUGGGGUCAUUCUUUGUCUUCAAAAAUACUGCCUAGUGCAGCCAAAUAAUAUAAUGGUCCAGUUGUGUAAGAUCUAAGAAGUUCCAUGCCUUCCUUCAUUUUGUCCCAUCUCUGUCUCCUUCAGUUCAAACUGGCAAUGUUUCUGCUGGGAUGGUUGAUUAGAUCUGUGGUUCACACUUAUACUGAUCUCCUUAUCCAAUAGUUUGUCAGUUAGUGUUCUCUUCAGAAGAAACUGUUUCCUUUUGUACAGUAUGUGUACAGGCUGAGAAGUUUUCCAAAUCUUAAACAUAUUCCUCAUUUUCAUUUAAACCAUGACUAGCAUUGCUUUUCUUGUCCAUGUUUUGACUGACAUUCUGUUGUUGAUUAUGUGUUUACUAAGAAAAUGGAAACUUACUCUCCAGUUCUCCUUUCUUUCUGAGUCCUAACCAGAAUCAUCACUCCUUUCCUGUUUCCUCUUUCUCUCCCUUUCAAAUAAAUAAAAUAUGAAUAAAUUUUUAACU
Molecule: long non-coding RNA, 1416 nt
Organism: Lepus europaeus (European hare)
Lineage: Eukaryota; Metazoa; Chordata; Mammalia; Lagomorpha; Leporidae
Exons: 3
Source: RefSeq, a predicted model, not a curated record